RNAcentral lists this ribosomal RNA (465 nucleotides) under Vreelandella stevensii. RNAcentral describes it as "partial 16S ribosomal RNA". It matches the Rfam family "Bacterial small subunit ribosomal RNA", at positions 338 to 795 of the family's 1533-position model. Lineage: Bacteria; Pseudomonadati; Pseudomonadota; Gammaproteobacteria; Oceanospirillales; Halomonadaceae. The record is from RNAcentral.
CCUACGGGGGGCAGCAGUGGGGAAUAUUGGACAAUGGGGGGAACCCUGAUCCAGCCAUGCCGCGUGUGUGAAGAAGGCCCUCGGGUUGUAAAGCACUUUCAGUGAGGAAGAACGCCUGGUGGUUAAUACCCAUCAGGAAAGACAUCACUCACAGAAGAAGCACCGGCUAACUCCGUGCCAGCAGCCGCGGUAAUACGGAGGGUGCGAGCGUUAAUCGGAAUUACUGGGCGUAAAGCGCGCGUAGGUGGCUUGAUAAGCCGGUUGUGAAAGCCCCGGGCUCAACCUGGGAACGGCAUCCGGAACUGUCAAGCUAGAGUGCAGGAGAGGAAGGUAGAAUUCCCGGUGUAGCGGUGAAAUGCGCAGAGAUCGGGAGGAAUACCAGUGGCGAAGGCGGCCUUCUGGACUGACACUGACACUGAGGUGCGAAAGCGUGGGUAGCAAACAGGAUUAGAUACCCGUGUAGUC